AGUGUUCUUGCCUGGAGAAUCCCAGGGACGGGGGAGCCUGGUGGGCUGCUGUCUAUGGGGUCGCACAGAGUCGGACAUGACUGAAGCGACUUAGCAGUAGCAGCAGCAACUAAUGUAGAAUUAUGUAUACAAACAUGUGCUGUAAGCUCUAAAGUAGCAUAAAAAUGCUGACUUUUACCUAACUUGGGAUCCCUCUACCCAUAGAAGAUUUAUCUGAGUCAUGAAUUCAGGGACUUACUUCCCCUUAUGUUUAAUUUAUAAAAAUAUCAAGACUGAGACUAGUUUCUGGACAACAUCACUGAUUAACUUUUCUCUGUCUAUGAAGUGUUUAUCCAAAACUUUCCCCUAAAUCUCAAGCUCAUCCUCAGGAUGCAGCCUUGUCUAGAAACAGGUUCUCCUGGCUUUGGUGCAGUUACAAGUCACUGGGUCACAUUUCUACCCUGCCCUGAAGAACUGCCAUGGUCAGGUGUGUGCCUAGGGGUCCAUGAUCAGGGCCAAGAAGUCAAAGGUCCCAGGAGAAAUGCAGAGUCCUUCCUGCAAGGCUGAUAGGAGAGGGGGGUCUGUGGGUGAGCCUCCCUUCCCUCUGGUUCCCACUGGAAGGCUACAAGAGACAAAGAAGUCAGAGUUUAUAUGCCUAAGGAGGCUGACUACUUUGGGCAGAUCUCACAAGACUGGAAGUACCCUUGGUACUACAACAUGGAAGGUGCAGUGAAGGAGGCCUGUACACUGUCUUAUUUCAGUGUGGGCUAAAAGUUCCAUGUAGGAUGAUUCAUAUGGGAGCUGCUGCCUGGCUGCUUUUUCUUGAACUAUAAUAAAUGUAUUUAUAAGUCACCAUGGUGGCUGAGCUCUGCAGGCUGAAAUUCAGGCGGAGUAUCUUUGUUGUUGUCUUGAAAAUUCCUCCUCAGGAAACCCCAGUCUUGGCUUUUAAGCCCUUCCCCUGAUUGGACGAGGCUCACCCACAUUAUGGAGAGCAAUCUGCUUUACCCAUAGUCUACUGAUUUCACUGCUAAUCAUAUCCAAAAAGUAUGUUCACAGCAACAUCAGGACUGGGUGAGCCUGUGGAUGAACUACCCUUCACUUGACCAAAUAACUGGGUGCCACGGUCUAGUCAAGUUGACAUGUAAAAUAAUCAUUAUGGCCACUUUCCGAGUUUUCUUCCCCUCCUCUGGCUGCCCCAGGUUGUAAUGCUUCUAUCAGUGAUGAUGCUUUCAAAUGCAAAGUCACAAAAACAAUCUUUUCAAACAGGAUUCAACUCUAAGGGGAACUUAUUGGCUCUUGUAACUGAAGAAUCCACAGCAGACCAGCUUGAGGUCUGACUCACUUCAGGUUCAUACCUCAUCUCUCCCUGGUUCUCACCUCAUCUCUCCGUGGUUCCCUGUGUUGAUUUUAUCUUCAGGCAGGCUUCCCCCAAGAUUAUAAGAUGGUUGACAUGCUUUCUUAUUCACACCCAAGAGGAAAGAGCAGUCGCAUCCUUCCCAGAACAGAGCAGAAAGAGCACCAAGCUUGUCUCUGCUUGGCUUGGUCCUGACAUCAUGUGGCCAAGGGAAUAGCCUGCUCUGAUUGGCUUAGGUCUGCCCACACCCUGACCGAUCCCAGAGCAAGGGUAUGAGAUUUCCCUGACUGGCAUCUAGGUUGGGGUCUUCCCUGGAGCCAGGGGUAGGAUCAAUCCCAGCCAAACAAGCAGCUGCUGCACAGUAGCCAAGGGGUGGUCCGGAUGUGGACGAUAACCUUAGAUCUCUGCAUCGGUCUCUGAAACUUGAAGCUGCUGCUGCUGCUGCUGCGUCUCCGAAGCUUGCAGCUGCGGUGCCCAAGUCUAGGGCACAGGUAGUGCUGCAGCCUAUGGGACUUGUGCCCACGGGGUGAGUGGUCUUAGCCUGCGGGGUCAUAGGCAGCAGAGAGGACAGCUGCCCAGAAAGAGAGCUGUGUUCCCUUGGAUGUCAGGGCAGAGUGAGUCCAGCGUGGAGGGGCUGGUGGUGGUCAACAGGCUGGCAGCUGUGUGCUCACUUUCAACUUCCUUGUUUCUAAACUGCCUCCCUGCUGCUAAGGGAGUGAUCUCAGGACUGAACUCCUAGCAGCCAACUUUACCACUGUCAGCGUUCGAGCAGGGCUGUGACGCCGCCAAGAGGAGUGGAUUCUUUACAGACUGAGCCACCAGGACCUUCAAGUUGCAAAAUUCCAAAGAUGCUAAUGUGAGAGCCAGCCUCUGUAUGCCAGCUGCUGUACUGUGCUACUAUACUUUUCAAGGUCCUGUACUGUCAGAUUAAAAAUGUUUUCUUUACUUUUUGUGUUGGUUUUUUUAUAUAUUAUUUAUGUGGAAAGUAUUAUAAACCUAUUACAGUACCACCACCCCUGCCGCCAAGUCACUU
Bubalus bubalis (water buffalo) is the source of this 2366-nucleotide long non-coding RNA. RefSeq lists it as uncharacterized. NCBI's taxonomy places the organism in Eukaryota, Metazoa, Chordata, Mammalia, Artiodactyla, Bovidae. The transcript is spliced from 2 exons. The record is from RefSeq and is a predicted model, not a curated record.